This 492-nucleotide ribosomal RNA is filed under the name uncultured bacterium. Its description in RNAcentral is "partial 16S ribosomal RNA". It matches the Rfam family "Bacterial small subunit ribosomal RNA", at positions 29 to 507 of the family's 1533-position model. The record is from RNAcentral.
AGUGAACGCUGGCGAUAGGCCUAACACAUGCAAGUCGAACGGCAGCACAGUAAGAGCUUGCUCUUACGGGUGGCGAGUGGCGGACGGGCGAGGAAUACAUCGGAAUCUACUUUUUCGUGGGGGAUAACGUAGGGAAACUUACGCUAAUACCGCAUACGACCUACGGGUGAAAGCAGGGGAUCUUCGGACCUUGCGCGAUUGAAUGAGCCGAUGUCGGAUUAGCUAGUUGGCGGGGUAAAGGCCCACCAAGGCGACGAUCCGUAGCUGGUCUGAGAGGAUGAUCAGCCACACUGGAACUGAGACACGGUCCAGACUCCUACGGGAGGCAGCAGUGGGGAAUAUUGGACAAUGGGCGCAAGCCUGAUCCAGCCAUACCGCGUGGGUGAAGAAGGCCUUCGGGUUGUAAAGCCCUUUUGUUGGGAAAGAAAAGCAGCAGGUUAAUACCCCGCUGUUCUGACGGUACCCAAAGAAUAAGCACCGGCUAACUUCGUG